This 72-nucleotide transfer RNA is filed under the name Ictidomys tridecemlineatus (thirteen-lined ground squirrel). Its description in RNAcentral is "Spermophilus tridecemlineatus (thirteen-lined ground squirrel) tRNA". It matches the Rfam family "tRNA". Rfam says of the family: Transfer RNA (tRNA) molecules are approximately 80 nucleotides in length. Their secondary structure includes four short double-helical elements and three loops (D, anti-codon, and T loops). The record is from Rfam by way of RNAcentral. Lineage: Eukaryota; Metazoa; Chordata; Mammalia; Rodentia; Sciuridae.
GGGGUUGUAGCUCAGUGGCAGAGCGCUCCACUGGCACUUGUGAGGCACUGAGUUUGAUUCUCAGCAUCACAU